CUCUUCCGGGAGGCAGCAGUGGGGAAUAUUGCACACUGGGGGAAACCCUGAUGCAGUGACGCCGCGUGAGCGAUGAAGGCUUUCGGGUCUUAAAGCUCUGUCUUAAGGGAAGAUAAUGACGGUACCUUAGGAGGAAGCCCCGGCUAACUACGUGCCAGCAGCCGCGGUAAUACGUAGGGGGCGAGCGUUGUCCGGAAUUACUGGGCGUAAAGGGUGCGUAGGCGGCCUUGUAAGUCAGAUGUUAAAGCCCUCGGCUUAACCGAGGUAAGCAUUUGAAACUGCAGGGCUUGAGUACAGGAGAGGAGAGUGGAAUUCCUAG
Molecule: ribosomal RNA, 319 nt
Filed under: uncultured bacterium
Lineage: Bacteria
Description: bacterial SSU rRNA
Rfam family: Bacterial small subunit ribosomal RNA
Source: RNAcentral